This 207-nucleotide ribosomal RNA is filed under the name uncultured bacterium. RNAcentral describes it as "partial 16S ribosomal RNA". It matches the Rfam family "Bacterial small subunit ribosomal RNA", at positions 568 to 774 of the family's 1533-position model. The record is from RNAcentral.
CUCGUAGGCGGCCAACUAAGUCGGACGUGAAAUCCCUCGGCUUAACCGGGGAACUGCGUCCGAUACUGGAUGGCUUGAGAUUGGGAGAGGGAUGCGGAAUUCCAGGUGUAGCGGUGAAAUGCGUAGAUAUCUGGAGGAACACCGGUGGCGAAGGCGGCAUCCUGGACCAACACUGACGCUGAUGAGCGAAAAGCCAGGGAGCAAACG